UGGGGAAUAUUGCACAAUGGGCGGAAGCCUGAUGCAGCAACGCCGCGUGCGGGAUGAAGGCCUUCGGGUUGUAAACCGCUUUCAGUCGGGACGAAGUUGACGGUACCGACAGAAGAAGCACCGGCUAACUACGUGCCAGCAGCCGCGGUGAUACGUAGGGUGCGAGCGUUGUCCGGAUUUAUUGGGCGUAAAGAGCUCGUAGGUGGUUUGUUGCGUCGGAAGUGAAAACUUGGGGCUUAACCCUAAGCUUGCUUUCGAUACGGGCGGACUUGAGGGAGGUAGGGGAGAACGGAAUUCCUGGUGGAGCGGUGGAAUGCGCAGAUAUCAGGAGGAACACCGGUGGCGAAGGCGGUUCUCUGGACCUUUCCUGACGCUGAGGAGCGAAAGCGUGGGGAGCAAACAG
Molecule: ribosomal RNA, 403 nt
Filed under: uncultured bacterium
Lineage: Bacteria
Description: bacterial SSU rRNA
Rfam family: Bacterial small subunit ribosomal RNA
Source: RNAcentral